Molecule: non-coding RNA, 101 nt
Organism: Acanthosepion pharaonis
Lineage: Eukaryota; Metazoa; Mollusca; Cephalopoda; Sepiida; Sepiidae
Source: the annotation of a GenBank genome assembly
CGGCUACAUCGCGCGUUCCCGAACGAUCAACGAAGUUAAGCAACGUCGAGCAUGGCCAGUAUCUAGAUGGGUGACCGAUUGAGAAUACUAGGUGUUGUAAG